UUGAUUCAUUUUUCUUGUGAGACUCAGAAUAUGCCACUAUGGUUAAACAAGAGUUUGGGUCCCCCGGCGGGCGCCUGGUUCCGGCGGCCCUCGCGGGCCUUCCGGGGCGUUAACCCGCCGAAGCAACAGUAAAGGUAUAAGUUCACAGGGGUUUGGGAGUAGAAUAACUCGGUAAUGAUCCCUCCGCUGGUUCACCAACGGAGA
Molecule: unclassified non-coding RNA, 204 nt
Filed under: uncultured fungus
Lineage: Eukaryota; Fungi
Description: sequence contains ITS1
Source: RNAcentral